This 477-nucleotide ribosomal RNA is filed under the name uncultured bacterium. RNAcentral describes it as "partial 16S ribosomal RNA". It matches the Rfam family "Bacterial small subunit ribosomal RNA", at positions 30 to 523 of the family's 1533-position model. The record is from RNAcentral.
AUUGAACGCUGACAGCAUGCUUAACACAUGCAAGUCUACCAAGAAUCACUUCGGUGAGGAAUGGUGGCGGACGGGUGAGUAACGCGUAAAUAAUCUGCCCUUUAGACUGGGAUAUCCUUUGGAAACGAAGGUUACUACCGGAUAUUAUGAGAUGGACGCAUGUUCAACUUAUGAAAGCUAAAUGCACUAGAGGAGGAGUUUGCGUCCCAUUAGCUAGUUGGUGAGGUAAAGGCGCACCAAGGCCACGAUGGGUAGCCGGCCUGAGAGGGUGAACGGCCACAAGGGAACUGAGAUACGGUCCUUACUCCUACGGGAGGCAGCAGUGGGGGAUAUUGGACAACAGACCAAAAGUCUGAUCCAGCAAUUCUGUGUGCACGAUGAAGGUCUUCGGAGUGUAAAGUGCUUUCAGUAGGGAAGAAAAAAUGACGGUACCUACAGAAGAAGCGACGGCUAAAUAUGUGCCAGCAGCCGCAGUAA